RNAcentral lists this ribosomal RNA (416 nucleotides) under Salmonella enterica subsp. enterica serovar Infantis. RNAcentral's name for it is "partial 23S ribosomal RNA". It matches the Rfam family "Bacterial large subunit ribosomal RNA", at positions 103 to 559 of the family's 2925-position model. RNAcentral also lists the same sequence under 4 other names. Lineage: Bacteria; Pseudomonadati; Pseudomonadota; Gammaproteobacteria; Enterobacterales; Enterobacteriaceae. The record is from RNAcentral.
ACCGGCGAUUUCCGAAUGGGGAAACCCAGUGUGACUCGUCACACUAUCAUUAACUGAAUCCAUAGGUUAAUGAGGCGAACCGGGGGAACUGAAACAUCUAAGUACCCCGAGGAAAAGAAAUCAACCGAGAUUCCCCCAGUAGCGGCGAGCGAACGGGGAGGAGCCCAGAGCCUGAAUCAGCAUGUGUGUUAGUGGAAGCGUCUGGAAAGGCGCGCGAUACAGGGUGACAGCCCCGUACACAAAAGCGCAUGUGCUGUGAGCUCGAUGAGUAGGGCGGGACACGUGGUAUCCUGUCUGAAUAUGGGGGGACCAUCCUCCAAGGCUAAAUACUCCUGACUGACCGAUAGUGAACCAGUACCGUGAGGGAAAGGCGAAAAGAACCCCGGCGAGGGGAGUGAAAAAGAACCUGAAACCGU